AUUGAACGCUGGCGGCAUGCCUUACACAUGCAAGUCGAACGGCAGCGCGGGGCAACCUGGCGGCGAGUGGCGAACGGGUGAGUAACAUAUCGGAACAUACCCUAGAGUGGGGAUAACGUAGCGAAAGUUACGCUAAUACCGCAUACGCACUAAGGUGGAAAGUGGGGGAUUCGCAAGAACCUCAUGCUCAUGGAGUGGCCGAUAUCUGAUUAGCUAGUUGGUGAGGUAAAGGCUCACCAAGGCGACGAUCAGUAGCUGGUUUGAGAGAACGACCAGCCACACUGGAACUGAGACACGGUCCAGACUCCUACGGGAGGCAGCAGUGGGAAUUUUGGACAAUGGGGGCAACCCUGAUCCAGCAAUGCCGCGUGAGUGAAGAAGGCCUUCGGGUUGUAAAGGACUCUUUGUCUAGGGAAGAGUAAUAGAC
Molecule: ribosomal RNA, 427 nt
Filed under: uncultured bacterium
Lineage: Bacteria
Description: bacterial SSU rRNA
Rfam family: Bacterial small subunit ribosomal RNA
Source: RNAcentral